UGCCAGCCGCCGCGGUAAUACGAAGGGGGCUAGCGUUGUUCGGAAUAACUGGGCGUAAAGCGCACGUAGGUGGUUAUAUAAGUCAGAUGUGAAAGUCCACGGCUCAACCGUGGAAGUGCAUUUGAAACUGUAUAACUUGAGUACUGGAGGGGGUAGUGGAAUUCCCGGUGUAGAGGUGAAAUUCGUAGAUAUCUGGAAGAACACCAGCGGCGAAGGCGGCUUUCUGGACCAAUACUGACGCUGAGAUGCGAAAGCGUGGGGAGCGAACAGGAUUAGAUA
Molecule: ribosomal RNA, 279 nt
Filed under: uncultured bacterium
Lineage: Bacteria
Description: partial 16S ribosomal RNA
Rfam family: Bacterial small subunit ribosomal RNA
Source: RNAcentral